Molecule: transfer RNA, 73 nt
Filed under: Synechococcus phage B23
Lineage: Duplodnaviria; Heunggongvirae; Uroviricota; Caudoviricetes; Pantevenvirales; Kyanoviridae
Also listed under: 1 other name
Description: tRNA-Ala
Rfam family: tRNA
About the family: Transfer RNA (tRNA) molecules are approximately 80 nucleotides in length.
Source: RNAcentral
GGGGUCUUAGCUCAAUUGGUAGAGCAUUUGCUUUGCAAGCAAGAGGUUAGGGGUUCGAUUCCCCUAGAUUCCA